CCUACGGGAGGCAGCAGUGGGGAAUUUUGGACAAUGGGCGCAAGCCUGAUCCAGCAAUGCCGCGUGAGUGAAGAAGGCCUUCGGGUUGUAAAGCUCUUUUGUCAGGGAAGAAACGGUGGAGGUUAAUACCUUCUGCUAAUGACGGUACCUGAAGAAUAAGCACCGGCUAACUACGUGCCAGCAGCCGCGGUAAUACGUAGGGUGCAAGCGUUAAUCGGAAUUACUGGGCGUAAAGCGUGCGCAGGCGGUUGUGCAAGACAGAUGUGAAAUCCCCGGGCUCAACCUGGGAAUUGCAUUUGUGACUGUACGGCUAGAGUGUGUCAGAGGGGGGUAGAAUUCCACGUGUAGCAGUGAAAUGCGUAGAGAUGUGGAGGAAUACCGAUGGCGAAGGCAGCCCCCUGGGAUAACACUGACGCUCAUGCACGAAAGCGUGGGGAGCAAACAGGAUUAGAUACCCUGGUAGUCCACGCCCUAAACGAUGUCUACUAGUUGUCGGGUCUUUAUUGACUUGGUAACGCAGCUAACGCGUGAAGUAGACCGCCUGGGGAGUACGGUCGCAAGAUUAAAACUCAAAAGGAAUUGACGG
This 586-nucleotide ribosomal RNA is filed under the name uncultured bacterium. RNAcentral's name for it is "bacterial SSU rRNA". It matches the Rfam family "Bacterial small subunit ribosomal RNA", at positions 338 to 916 of the family's 1533-position model. The record is from RNAcentral.